UCUUUACAAUAUCACGUCUGCUUCAACUUGAACCUAUGAUCCCUACACCCUAGUACCUCCACUUUUCUUUUUCUCCGAACCUCGAUACCGCCGCUCUCUCCGGAGAGUAUUGUCUCGAGUGGAUCGCCGGGUAAAACAAC
Molecule: non-coding RNA, 140 nt
Organism: Caenorhabditis elegans
Lineage: Eukaryota; Metazoa; Nematoda; Chromadorea; Rhabditida; Rhabditidae
Source: Ensembl